RNAcentral lists this long non-coding RNA (518 nucleotides) under Acyrthosiphon pisum (pea aphid). RNAcentral's name for it is "uncharacterized LOC103308907, transcript variant X2". Lineage: Eukaryota; Metazoa; Arthropoda; Insecta; Hemiptera; Aphididae. The record is from RNAcentral.
AAUAUGAGUCAGUCAAAUUUUCUAAUUUGUGAACAAAUAUAAAUUUCCAAAAAAUGACAAUAGAAGAAAAUAAUCGCUAAUAAUCUUCAAAUUAAAUGAUUACUCAAUUUCCAUCCGGAGCAGAGUCUGCGAUAAUCAUUUCAUAAUCGAAAAUUCUAUUUCUCUAAUGAUGAGUUUGAAGAAAAUGACACAGACAAAUAAAGGAUUUGGAGACGUUACAGUUGAUGAUUUUAAUUCACCCAGAAAAGCCUUAAUAAUGUCUAACUCACAUACACUUAUCCAGUCAAAUGAAAAAUUCACUGGAGGCUGAAUUUCAUGAAAUGUUUGAAAAUUGUCGAAGCCGUCAUAAAGCACUCUAGAAAAUGAUAAAGAUAAAAUUAUGGAUGCUUAGACUUAUAAAAACCGUUCAUAUUCUGAUACUGCACUCAAUGAUACUGUCGAAAAUUACUUAAUGAUAUGUUAUUUAUCAUACAUAACAUUAUAAAAUUAAAAAUACUUUAAAUAGUAUCUUUAUUCGG